AGGACCCAAGUAAAACUCAUUACGUCCAACAUCAGCGGGCGCAAGAAAACUUGGGGUUACGUAUGAACGACUCAGAAGUUCCUGAAAGUCGUCAAAACUAAAGGAAUCGCUAGCUUGGGAUUGUAAAGCAGCCAUUGAAGAAGGAACGAAGCUUUUCAGAGUUACGUAACAAGGAAGCAAAGUAUGAACAGUGAAUCGCGAAGGAUGCGUAAGAAAUAUGAAACGUGAUUUCGUAGCAGUAAAAUGGCGUGUUCGGAGUUUAUAAGGGUUUGCAAAGCGACGCACCUUUUCAAGUUAUAGAAGGAGACAAUGAUUAAAAUUCUUUGGGGAUCGUGAACGUUGCUGAAGACGUGAAGUGAAUAUGGCAAAAUUCAAUAGUUAUUAUUAAUUCUGCCAUAUUGGGGGGUAAUUGUUGACACAUAAAAAUUCAGCCCAAAUCGAACAGCCCAGAGAAUAAAGUCCAAUUGGAGGGUCCCCAAAUCAGAUAGCCCAAAGAACGAAAUCCAAUUGAACGAAUCAAGGUGAAUGCCCAAAUAAGGGGCCCAAUAGUGCGGUAACGCCAUCGCCCAAGUUUGCAAGUCGCUCAGAGUCAGAACGAAUAGAGUGGCAUACGGUCGUCCAAAGUCUCGCCCAAAUCUUCAAGUCGCCCAAGGUAUCAACAAACAUAACGCAUUAUGAUGCAGUUAUUGAGGCAGUUGCUAAAGUAAUUUCAUCACGUUCCACGACUCAAGGGGUUCAAUCGAAAGCGGUUGAAUGAUGCAAGAUAAUGGCAGCAGUUAAAAGACAGUUGCAUGACAAAGUGGCCAUUACAAAGAAAGUGGGUAGUUAUUGGGCGAUCAAGCAGUUUUUUAGAGCAGUUAAUCACAAAGGGAUCGCCUAUGAAGUAUAAAAGGGAGAAAGAACUUAGAAGCAAGGACCGAAUCAAAAACUCUCGAACAGAGAAUAUGUAAUUUUCAUUCCUUUAGCUUUUAGACUUAAACGUUUCCUUUUCUGUAACUCGUGUGCUUGCGCCCCUUGGAGGCACGUUGUUUUUCGUUUCCAAUUGUAAAGUUCAUCGCCAAUAAAAAGAACACCCCUUUUUGGGACUUUGUCUCAAGAGGUUUCGUCC
This 1108-nucleotide long non-coding RNA is filed under the name Olea europaea (common olive). RNAcentral describes it as "long non-coding RNA (OEUR_LNC010390)". Lineage: Eukaryota; Viridiplantae; Streptophyta; Magnoliopsida; Lamiales; Oleaceae. The record is from RNAcentral.